AUGAAACAUAAAAAAUUCUGUAAUUUGAAGCAAGCAGAAAACAGUCUCAUUGUUUUCAGAGCUGUUCCAAGAUCAUUGUGCUUGCUUCAGCAAGAAACCUCAAGUGCAGAGCUGAAAACUGAAUGUGCAGUGGUGCUGGGAGGUCUUUCUAUGGGCACUGAAAACAAUGUCAAGUCUCUACUGACUCGUUUAAUCCCAGCCUUGCAACAAGAACUGCUGUCCCCAGACCUGAAGUUCACUGAAGCUUGUCUCCAAUGCCUGCAUACCAUUUUCUCUAGACUUGUUACUCCAAAGGAGGUACUGUAUACAGAUGCCACAGUGACACUGCACCUCAUGGCACUGCUUUGCAGGUUCCACUAUACCCAGGAGUACAUCUGUUGUAUUGUCUCACACUGUUGUAAAGGGCCAGAUCAUCAAACAAUUUUAUGUAGCCAUGGCGUAGUUCAGAACACUGCUCAGCUACUAACCUCACUGUUCUACAAAGUUCAAAUGCAAGCACUGAACUGUUUCUCAGUUUUACCAGGAGCAUCCUACAUCCUGGUAAAUGUUUUGGUUGAUGUAGAAUUGUUAUCACAGAUUUUUGUGAAGAUGUUACGGAGGGCUAAGUAUAUUGAGAUACAGCUUACAUCAGCAAAAUGUUAAACUCACAUGCAUACAGCUGGAACAAUUCAGACAGAUAACAACUGUAUUAAAGACAUUGCCUUGUUUGUGCAGUAAGAAGAGAUUACUAGAGGAGAGAGUUAAAGAAGCUGAGACACUUGCCUAUCUGACUGAACCAGAUAUUGACCUACAGAGAAUCGCCAGCAUAACUGCUCACCUCAUUGCCGUUUUCUGACUGUUUCCAGUAUCCCAACUCAUUGAGUGCCAUCACUGAUAUUAAAAGACUUGAUCAUGAUUUAAAACAUGUACAUGAAUUCUGCCAGGCUGCAUUCAAGCUCUAUGACUCUCUUGGAGCAAAUGAUGAAGACAUUCAGAAGAAGAGCACUGAGACUGAAAAAUACGAUGGGCUGAAUUGUGGCUGGCUUGUCUGAGUCUAGUGUCAAGGUGUGGUUAGCUGCUGUCAGAUGUUUGCACCCUUUAUAGAGAUCUGUGCAGCAGCUUCAAAACAGUUUCUAGGAUCACAUUGUCUGAAAACAUUUAAUGAAGGUUUUACAAAAUGCACCAGAUGAAAUCUUAGUGGUAGCAUCUUCCACAAUAUGUAAUCUUCUGGAAUUUUCUCCAGGAAAAGAGCCAAUUUUAAAAUCAGGAGUUGUAGAGCUACUUUGUAGAUUAACCCAGAGUGAAAAUCCUGCUUUACAAGUGAAUAGAAUUUGGGCUUUAAUGAAUAUGGCAUUUCAGGUUGAACAAAAAAUAAAAGCAAACAUUUUACAAAGCUUGAAUACUGAACAGAUAUUCCGGAUGUUAUCAGAUUCAGAUUUGAAUGUGCUGAUGAAGACACUGGGACUUCUUAGAAAUC
Molecule: RNA transcript, 1456 nt
Organism: Cebus imitator (Panamanian white-faced capuchin)
Lineage: Eukaryota; Metazoa; Chordata; Mammalia; Primates; Cebidae
Gene name: armadillo repeat-containing protein 8-like
Exons: 1
Source: RefSeq, a predicted model, not a curated record